Molecule: microRNA, 23 nt
Filed under: Schistosoma mansoni
Lineage: Eukaryota; Metazoa; Platyhelminthes; Trematoda; Strigeidida; Schistosomatidae
Description: sma-miR-36a-5p
Gene: sma-miR-36a-5p
Source: miRBase by way of RNAcentral
GAAGAGUGCCGACCCGGUUAGCC